Lingula anatina is the source of this 493-nucleotide long non-coding RNA. NCBI's taxonomy places the organism in Eukaryota, Metazoa, Brachiopoda, Lingulata, Lingulida, Lingulidae. The record is from RefSeq and is a predicted model, not a curated record.
CCGCACGUUGUAUAGUAGAUACUGAAAAUAGCAACUGCAAGUUACAACGUAGUCAAGUCCAGCAACCAGGAAGUGAUCUUUGACACUUUGGUGAUAGCAGACGGAGACAUAUUGCUUGUAGCGGAAUAAGAUCCCUAUAUAAAUGUACUGGUAGCCUUCAAGACCCUCAGUGCUAAUUAUAAAAAUGCAGCGAACGGGAGGUAAGUUUGUGGCGUUGCUAUUCCUCUCCGCUCUAGUAUUCAAUCUGGCCGGUAAAGCAUCCACCUCUACAAUUGUCAGUUCUUAUCCAAGUGGGCAGACAACGGUUGAGUUCAACAAUAUAGCGAUUGACAACGCAACUGGGACUGUAUAUGUUGGGGCUGUUAAUACUUUGUACCGACUGAAUGGUGACUUGCAACUGUUACAGAACGUAACGACUGGACCAGUCACGGAUAGUCCUUACUGUAGUCCACCUCCUUCUUCCUGCUCAAAGGGAACGCCCACAGACAACUAC